RNAcentral lists this unclassified non-coding RNA (183 nucleotides) under uncultured Lopadostoma. RNAcentral's name for it is "sequence contains ITS1". Lineage: Eukaryota; Fungi; Ascomycota; Sordariomycetes; Xylariales; Xylariaceae. The record is from RNAcentral.
CAGAGUUAUCUAAACUCCCAAACCCAUGUGAACUUACCUAUGUUGCCUCGGCAGGGAACCUACCCGGUAGUUACCCGGUGGCUACCCGGUAGCUACCCCGUAAUUGCUGGGUAGACCUGCCGAAGGACCUUUUAAACUCUUGUUUUAUUGUGGCACUCUGAGUAACUAAAAAUAAAUAAGUUA